GGGCGGUUAGCUCAGUUGGCUAGAGCGCCUGCUCGACACGCAGGAGGUCGUAGGUUCGAGCCCUAUACUGCCCA
RNAcentral lists this transfer RNA (74 nucleotides) under Sedimentisphaerales bacterium. RNAcentral's name for it is "tRNA-Val". It matches the Rfam family "tRNA". Rfam says of the family: Transfer RNA (tRNA) molecules are approximately 80 nucleotides in length. Lineage: Bacteria; Pseudomonadati; Planctomycetota; Phycisphaerae; Sedimentisphaerales. The record is from RNAcentral.